RNAcentral lists this ribosomal RNA (238 nucleotides) under uncultured bacterium. Its description in RNAcentral is "partial 16S ribosomal RNA". It matches the Rfam family "Bacterial small subunit ribosomal RNA", at positions 539 to 776 of the family's 1533-position model. The record is from RNAcentral.
CGUUGUUCGGAUUCACUGGGCUUAAAGGGCGCGUAGGCGGUCACGCACGUCCGUUGUGAAAUCGCUCGGCUCAACUGGGCGGGGUCAGCGGAUACGGCGUGGCUGGAGCAAGCUAGGGGGCAAUGGAAUUCCCGGUGUAGUGGUGGAAUGCGUAGAUAUCGGGAGGAACACCAGUGGCGAAGGCGGUUGCCUGGAGCUUUGCUGACGCUGAUGCGCGAAAGCGUGGGGAGCGAUCCGG